RNAcentral lists this ribosomal RNA (497 nucleotides) under uncultured bacterium. RNAcentral describes it as "partial 16S ribosomal RNA". It matches the Rfam family "Bacterial small subunit ribosomal RNA", at positions 28 to 507 of the family's 1533-position model. The record is from RNAcentral.
GAUGAACGCUGGCGGCGUGCCUAAUACAUGCAAGUCGAGCGAACAGACGAGGAGCUUGCUCCUCUGACGUUAGCGGCGGACGGGUGAGUAACACGUGGAUAACCUACCUAUAAGACUGGGAUAACUUCGAGAAACCGGAGCUAAUACCGGAUAAUAUAUUGAACCGCAUGGUUCAAUAGUGAAAGACGGUUUUGCUGUCACUUAUAGAUGGAUCCGCGCCGCAUUAGCUAGUUGGUAAGGUAACGGCUUACCAAGGCAACGAUGCGUAGCCGACCUGAGAGGGUGAUCGGCCACACUGGAACUGAGACACGGUCCAGACUCCUACGGGAGGCAGCAGUAGGGAAUCUUCCGCAAUAGGCGAAAGCUUGACGGAGCAACGCCGCGUGAGUGAUGAAGGUCUUCGGAUCGUAAAACUCUGUUAUUAGGGAAGAACAAAUGUGUAAGUAACUAUGCACGUCUUGACGGUACCUAAUCAGAAAGCCACGGCUAACUACGUG